UGGAACAAUACUGGAACAAUAAAGAAAUAAACUGAUGAAAUGAGACCAUGGCAGUGACCUGAAGGAUUGACAAAUUCUUUAUGAAUCUCUUUUACAACGACUAAAUAUAUCCAACUCUCUUGACCUCUGUUCACCUUUGACAUGGAAGUUCCAAACUCAGACUGCUGGCUUCUGCAGAGAGUCACCUGCUGGAGAUUUCAAAGCCUUGUCCUUGCAUAGCAUACAGUCAUGGAUCUGCAUUUAAUGGCCUCCACAUCAGUGAAUUAAAAGAUGUUAUUGGCACAUUGCAGCACAUGAUCUUCUAGUCCCUGGUGCUUAUCUAUAGACUGGACAUCCCCAAAAUUGAUUGUCAGCUUGGUGGAAUUUGUGCUGUCAUGUUCUGCCUUUAUAAUAUGCAAUUAGUGAUAAUCAUAGCAACAAACAGCUGAUAAAAACAGCCAAAUGUUUUGAGAACAGGCAUAAAACAUCUUAGAAAACAAAUGGCUUUUCUGCAAUGCAGAGGAUGCAUCUUUAAAAUCUAUACUAGGCCACCAUUAUUUGUUGGAGCUGCUAAUAACCAAAGACUGUCAUAGUAUAUUUUAUAAUCUUUAGGGAUGAAUGACAUCAACAAAAAAACAAAAAACCCAGCAUAGUGAUCAGCUGUUUUUCAUGUACCUUCAAUUUAUCCCUGGAACUGUUGAGGUGAAAGGCUUAUACUGUAAAUGAAUGACAACUCAAGAAAAUUGUGCAGUUUUCCAGGGAGAAUUAAUUUAACCAAUGACAUUACAGGAAUAUCCUUUGCAUCACAUGUUAAAGGUUAUACCAUGAUAAAGUUAUAAAUUUACUGGAUUCUGUAUUAGGGAGAGUCAAUAGCAAGCAUGCCAACCUGCACAGCAUUUACAGAAGUUAGCCUCAAUCUUCCUGAGAGAGUUCUUCUAGCUUUCCAUCCUGACUAGCCUACAAAACCAAGCAGGUUUCUCAAAAAGAGAUGGGAAAAGGAAACCAGCCCACUUCAGAAUUUCAUUAAAGAACAGAAACUGUGGUACAUGAGUUUCAAAGACUUCCAAAGCUUCUAGUUUCUACUAUUACUUGAAGCUACAUUCUGUAUCUCUGAAAGUGUGCAUUGCUUCUUUAAAUAAAUAGGAACCACAUACAAUGUA
Molecule: long non-coding RNA, 1139 nt
Organism: Neopsephotus bourkii (Bourke's parrot)
Lineage: Eukaryota; Metazoa; Chordata; Aves; Psittaciformes; Psittacidae
Exons: 3
Source: RefSeq, a predicted model, not a curated record